GAUGAACGCUGGCGGCGUGCCUAAUACAUGCAAGUCGAGCGAACGGACGAGAAGCUUGCUUCUCUGAUGUUAGCGGCGGACGGGUGAGUAACACGUGGAUACCCUACCUAUAAGACUGGGAUAACUUCGGGAAACCGGAGCUAAUACCGGAUAAUAUUUUGAACCGCAUGGUUCAAAAAUGAAAGACGGUCUUGCUGUCACUUAUAGAUGGAUCCGCGCUGCAUUAGCUAGUUGGUAAGGUAACGGCUUACCAAGGCAACGAUGCAUAGCCGACCUGAGAGGGUGAUCGGCCACACUGGAACUGAGACACGGUCCAGACUCCUACGGGAGGCAGCAGUAGGGAAUCUUCCGCAAUGGGCGAAAGCCUGACGGAGCAACGCCGCGUGAGUGAUGAAGGUCUUCGGAUCGUAAAACUCUGUUAUUAGGGAAGAACAUAUGUGUAAGUAACUGUGCACAUCUUGACGGUACCUAAUCAGAAAGCCACGGCUAACUACGUG
This 497-nucleotide ribosomal RNA is filed under the name uncultured bacterium. RNAcentral describes it as "partial 16S ribosomal RNA". It matches the Rfam family "Bacterial small subunit ribosomal RNA", at positions 28 to 507 of the family's 1533-position model. The record is from RNAcentral.